AAAAUCAUUUUUUUUUUUAUUUAAUCAAAUUUGUUGUUUCCGUAUAUUUUUAUUUAAAAAAAAAAAAAAAAUAUUCAGAUUGUAAAAUUUCGAAAAUACUAUUACGAAUCAAUCAUUUGUACCUACUUAACAAAUGUUAAAAACCAUUUUUUUCUUUUCUGAAAAUCGAAUUUUUCGUGCUUAUUUUUUAUUAUUUUAAAGGGCAUAUUUCCACAAAAUAAGAUCGUGGAUGCUUAUUUUAUAGUGCAAAUUUCUAAAGUUUUUGGAGCGUAUAAAUCCGAGGCCUAGUAGUAAUACAUAAGACGCGUUACUCCUAACGCGGGAGACCGUUUAUAUUCGUCACCGCCGAGUAUAAUACCAACUCUUAUAUUAUUAUCACACACUCAAUAUUCACAACGAUUGUUUUCCAGACAUGUUAAAUAAUAUUCUCCGGACACUACACCGGUUUAUCGUUCGGCCGGCACCCGGGUCACCUGCACCUUCCGCAGGUGACCUGCAAGAGUCAAGGUCCUGAUGCAGUGCGCCUCGAGAAAACCGUUUUUUUUUUUUUUUUUUUUUUUUUUCGUUUUCACCGUUUACGAAAUACGCUUCGGUAGCCUAACCAUGGGAUUCAUAAUUAUAAAUAUCCGGUACUCGUAUAUCGCCGCAGGACAUUUUCGUUUAGUGAAUAUCCGCUGUGUGGCCCGUAUCGGUCCCUUAAAACAGACAGACCGGAGGACCGCCGGCUCGACUUUUGGAUUUUACCCCUGCAGUUAUCCCUGUCGCCACCGAUGUUGUUUGCCGUAUUAUAACACGCGUACAAUUUAAACGCCUAUACAAGUGAAAAUCUCUCUCUACUGGGCGUGUCCACGUGGACGCGAAAAAUGGAUGUAUUAAUAUGAUAUUUAGUGGCGAGCCGACGAGACAAUUUUUUUCGAUAACCGCGACCGUUCGGUAAUAACGGUCCGGUAUCGCGACGCGCGUAUCGCGAAACGCCGAAAUCACAGGACCGUGUCG
Molecule: non-coding RNA, 996 nt
Organism: Cinara cedri
Lineage: Eukaryota; Metazoa; Arthropoda; Insecta; Hemiptera; Aphididae
Source: the annotation of a GenBank genome assembly